GCGGGGUUGCCCUAGCCUGGUAGGGGGCAGGCCUGCUAAGCCUGUGGCCGAUUUCGGCCGCGCGGGUUCAAAUCCCGCACCCCGCGCCA
RNAcentral lists this transfer RNA (89 nucleotides) under Candidatus Bathyarchaeota archaeon. Its description in RNAcentral is "tRNA-Ser". It matches the Rfam family "tRNA". Rfam says of the family: Transfer RNA (tRNA) molecules are approximately 80 nucleotides in length. The record is from RNAcentral. RNAcentral also lists the same sequence under 2 other names. Lineage: Archaea; Thermoproteati; Candidatus Bathyarchaeota.